This 661-nucleotide ribosomal RNA is filed under the name bacterium SL3.40. RNAcentral's name for it is "bacterial SSU rRNA". It matches the Rfam family "Bacterial small subunit ribosomal RNA", at positions 56 to 764 of the family's 1533-position model. The record is from RNAcentral.
UGCAGUCGAACGAUCCUUUCGGGGAUAGUGGCGGACGGGUGAGUAACGCGUGGGAACCUGCCCCGAGGUACGGAAUAACUCAUGGAAACGUGAGCUAAUACCGUAUGUGACCUGAGGGUGAAAGAUUUAUCGCCUUGGGAGGGGCCCGCGUCGGAUUAGGUAGUUGGUGGGGUAAUGGCCUACCAAGCCUGCGAUCCGUAGCUGGUCUGAGAGGAUGAUCAGCCACACUGGAACUUAGACACGGUCCAGACUCCUACGGGAGGCAGCAGUGGGGAAUAUUGGACAAUGGGGGCAACCCUGAUCCAGCAAUGCCGCGUGCGUGAUGAAGGCCUUAGGGUUGUAAAGCGCUUUCGGCGGGGAAGAUGAUGACGGUACCCGCAGAAGAAGCCCCGGCUAACUCCGUGCCAGCAGCCGCGGUAAUACGGAGGGGGCUAGCGUUGUUCGGAAUUACUGGGCGUAAAGGGCGCGUAGGCGGCGAUUUAAGUUAGGCGUGAAAGCCCCGGGCUUAACCUGGGAACUGCGCUUGAUACUGGAUUGCUUGAGGACGGGAGAGGGUAGUGGAAUUCCCAGUGUAGAGGUGAAAUUCGUAGAUAUUGGGAAGAACACCAGUGGCGAAGGCGACUGCCUGGCCCGUUACUGACGCUGAGGCGCGAAAGCGUGG